AUUGAAGCAGAGUUCACUCGCUUAACAUCUAAGGACCUCAUGAAGUCUUUUCUCUCAGGGUUGGAUCAGUAUGUAACCAGGUUCCUUCAGAUGUUUAGAGCCAAGUUGAGCAGCAUUUUCAGAACUGAAAAGUCUUCUAUGCAAGAUUGACCGUGAUGUGAGUAUUUUAGUUGUGUGCUUCAAAUUAAAAUGUGUUUGGGUUAUUUAAGUUUGGAUCUAUAGAGUCACGCAUCAACUAACAUGUCAUUUUCUGUCCACUGUUCCUUUCCCUUUUCUCUCCAUCAUCAUAUGACCCAAAAUGUGUCCAAAUAUCAGCUUUUAAGGCUGUGCACAGGCUCCUACUCUUCUUCUGCCUAUGUAUGUACAGUUUACUUAAAAUAACAGAUUUUUAAAAAUGUGAUCUUUAGUGUUGUGCAUUGCUGCAAUUUUUUUUUUCACAUCAGUGACGUGCUGCAUCAUGUAAACUUUGAGUUAAAUCGAAGUUUACAUAUAACAUGGGGGAAAUAAUUGAACAUGUCAACUUUUUUUAAUUUUAUUUUUAUUAAACCGUUAAUUAAUUCAACAGUUUAAUUAAACAGCAAUUGACAUGCAAUUGGUAACAACUGAAGAAAUUUACACUUACAAAGAAAUCAUAUUAUAGUUCAUAAAGUUAUGUGUAAUGAAAUGACAAAAGAAAAAAACUAUGUAUUUAAUCUGCAUAGUUAUAGUGAUAAUAAAUGUUUUUCUUAAAUACACUUUGGCAACAAUUAACAGCACCAUUUUAUUCAAUAAUUAUUAAUUUGUUACAAAAUGUUUAUUUAACAUUGCACCACCAGCACCCCGCAUUUUUUUUUUUCAUGGGCUACAUGCCAGCAGGUGCUUCAGCACCCCUGCUUUCCACUAUAAUGGUUAUAAAGCAGUUACAUUGUCAGCCUUGCCCUAAAUCAAUCUAAUCAUUUUUUUCUUUUAUUUAAGAAUUCCAUGUCAAUGAAAAGGGCCGUUGUUCUUCAAGGCCUUCCACAUUACCUCGGCGAGGAUCCAUCAGAUUUCUUCAAGUCAGCUGAGGAAACUGACAUUGAAGACGGUGUGAUGGUGGGAAUGGAUGUGGGCAUUCUCAUAAUGCCUGAUGGAGAUGAUGCCUUUGACUACUACGUGGUAGUGGAGGAACAAGUUGUCCUGAGUGAUGCCAAAGACCUCCCUCAUGCUGUGGCUCAACUAGUCGUACUGAUUUUUGCGCUUAACAUUGAUUAUCCCAAAAAACUACGCUACACAUUUGAGGUAAUUCAGAAGAUUUUAAUUGACCUUGGAGGUGAUCACUGUUCCUUGACGGUGCAUGGACUGAAAAAUAGACUCUUUCGCAAAACUGUUUAG
Molecule: long non-coding RNA, 1350 nt
Filed under: Carassius auratus (goldfish)
Lineage: Eukaryota; Metazoa; Chordata; Actinopteri; Cypriniformes; Cyprinidae
Description: lncRNA (ENSCARG00000001329.1)
Source: RNAcentral